GUGCCAGCAGCCGCGGUAAUACGAAGGGUGCAAGCGUUAAUCGGAAUUACUGGGCGUAAAGCGCGCGUAGGUGGUUCGUUAAGUUGGACGUGAUUGCCCCGGGCUCAACCUGCGAACUGCAUCCAAAACUGGCGAGCUAGAGUAUGGCAGAGGGUGGUGGAAUUUCCUGUGUAACGGUGAAAUGCGUAGAUAUAGGAAGGAACACCAGUGGCGAAGGCGACCACCUGGGCUAAUACUGACACUGAGGUGCGAAAGCGUGGGGAGCAAACAGGAUUAGAAACCCCCGUAGUCC
This 292-nucleotide ribosomal RNA is filed under the name uncultured prokaryote. Its description in RNAcentral is "partial 16S ribosomal RNA". It matches the Rfam family "Bacterial small subunit ribosomal RNA", at positions 505 to 796 of the family's 1533-position model. The record is from RNAcentral.